UUUUAUGAGAGUUUGAUCCUGGCUCAGGACGAACGCUGGCGGCGUGCCUAAUACAUGCAAGUCGAGCGGAUGAAGAGGAGCUUGCUCCUUGGA
This 93-nucleotide ribosomal RNA is filed under the name Siminovitchia acidinfaciens. RNAcentral's name for it is "Bacillus sp. 3-2-2 partial 16S ribosomal RNA". It matches the Rfam family "Bacterial small subunit ribosomal RNA", at positions 1 to 91 of the family's 1533-position model. Lineage: Bacteria; Bacillati; Bacillota; Bacilli; Caryophanales; Bacillaceae. The record is from RNAcentral.